CCUACGGGUGGCUGCAGUGAGGAAUUUUGCGCAAUGGGGGAAACCCUGACGCAGCAACGCCGCGUGAGUGAUGAAGGCCUUCGGGUCGUAAAGCUCUGUCAAGUGGGAAGAAUCUGUCCGGUGAUAAUACCGCUGGGCAAUGACGGUACCGCUGAAGGAAGCACCGGCUAACUCCGUGCCAGCAGCCGCGGUAAUACGGGGGGAGCUAGCGUUAUUCGGGAGCACGGGGCGUAAAGGGCGCGUAAGCGGUGAAAGCCCUCGGCUUAACUGAGGAAGUGCAUUUGAUACUAAAAGACUUGAGUAUGGGAGAGGGAAGCGGAAUUCCUGGUGUAGCGGUGAAAUGCGUAGAUAUCAGGAGGAACACCGGUGGCGAAGGCGGCUUCCUGGACCAAUACUGACGCUGAGGCGCGAAGGCGUGGGGAGCAAACAGGAUUAGAUACCCUAGUAGUC
RNAcentral lists this ribosomal RNA (450 nucleotides) under uncultured bacterium. Its description in RNAcentral is "partial 16S ribosomal RNA". It matches the Rfam family "Bacterial small subunit ribosomal RNA", at positions 338 to 795 of the family's 1533-position model. The record is from RNAcentral.